AUUGAACGCUGGCGGCAGGCCUAACACAUGCAAGUCGAACGGUAACAGGAAGAAGCUUGCUUCUUUGCUGACGAGUGGCGGACAGGUGAGUAAUGUCUGGGAAACUGCCUGAUGGAGGGGGAUAACUACUGGAAACGGUAGCUAAUACCGCAUAACGUCGCAAGACCAAAGAGGGGGACCUUCGGGCCUCUUGCCAUCGGAUGUGCCCAGAUGGGAUUAGCUAGUAGGUGGGGUAACGGCUCACCUAGGCGACGAUCCCUAGCUGGUCUGAGAGGAUGACCAGCCACACUGGAACUGAGACACGGUCCAGACUCCUACGGGAGGCAGCAGUGGGGAAUCUUGCCCAAUGGGCGCAAGCCUGAUGCCGCCAUGCCGCGUGUAUGAAGAAGGCCUUCGGGUUGUAAAGUACUUUCAGCGGGGAGGAAGGGAGUAAAGUUAAUACCUUUGCUCAUUGACGUUACCCGCAGAAGAAGCACCGGCUAACUCCGUG
Molecule: ribosomal RNA, 490 nt
Filed under: uncultured bacterium
Lineage: Bacteria
Description: partial 16S ribosomal RNA
Rfam family: Bacterial small subunit ribosomal RNA
Source: RNAcentral